AACUCCAGGUCGCGCCAAUCAGAUCAGAGAAAGAACUAUGGGCUCCGCCCCUCCAGCCGCGGUCAUCACAGAAUGGCCUGGCACGGUGACCACGGAGUGCCCUGGCACCGGUGCCCGCGGCUGUGACGGAAAAAGGGUGGGAAGAACAGGGAAGAGGAAGCAGAAACAGGUUAUCUGUUCACUCUGAUGGUAGAGAAGACCUUAAAUGACCUGAUGGAGCUGAAAACCAUGGCGAGAACUUCCUGCCUUCGAUUUCUCACAAGCUCGGGCAUACCACGAGGCUUGGAGACUCAAAACCUGAAGAGCCUGCAAUCAGAUUUCUCCCUUACUAUUCCUGCUCAUUGUCUUCUGUGGACUAAUACUGAACAUGAAACUUUGCUUACAGUUUUGUGGCCUGUUCCUUUCCUCUGAUUGCUGAUCAUUGCAUGAAUUUCCUGAGAUUAUCACUGAAUAGGACCUUUCUUUUUCCUGUAUCCUCUACUACACACACUGAGUUCAAAUAGAAUUAUUUUACUUGGAAAACUCCAGGUUUUGCUAAGUUCCAGCCUUGGUUUGUGUAGCACUGGUUGGCUGCCUUAGACUAAUUUUUUGGGGGUGUCAGAUAGUAAAAGGAGCACAAUCAAGCACCAGGUCAUCUGAAAGACAAAUUUUAGACGUCACUUUCUUUUGUGAUUUUGUUGCUUAACCCAGUGCAGGGGCAGUCAAAGCUGUAUCACCAUUGCAUUCACUGUCUAGGUAAAAAUGGGAAAAUUCAGUCAGUUAUACUAAUAUUCCUUACUACUUGCAAUUUAUGUUCACUGGCCUAUUGGUAUGAGCAAUGCAUUGUACAUUACAUAUUUGGCAGUAAAAGGACAGAUACCCAGAUGUCAUACUAAAAUUUCUGCAUUUGUUUGAAAAUACUAGUUUAAGCAAUUACAUGUUAUGCAAGUGGUUAGUCCUUCCCUCUCCAGCUUGGCUGCCACCAGUAAUAAUGGAUCAUAACAUCUUCUCCUGUGUGAUCUGAUGCGGCCUUGGGAUUCGUCCCAACGCAGGACUCCAGAGAUCAGUGGAUCAGUGAAUUAUGUUUGGGAGAUGCAACCCCUGUUGUUACUGGGCUGGGGGCCCAAGCAGCUGCUGGUGGGGUGUUCUGCCCUGC
This 1135-nucleotide long non-coding RNA is filed under the name Homo sapiens (human). Its description in RNAcentral is "non-protein coding lnc-ASB4-3:5". Lineage: Eukaryota; Metazoa; Chordata; Mammalia; Primates; Hominidae. The record is from RNAcentral.